This 404-nucleotide unclassified non-coding RNA is filed under the name soil metagenome. RNAcentral's name for it is "partial contains 5.8S ribosomal RNA, internal transcribed spacer 2, and large subunit ribosomal RNA". The stretch from base 1 to 122 matches the Rfam family "5.8S ribosomal RNA", at positions 35 to 154 of the family's 154-position model. The record is from RNAcentral.
GAUGAAGAACGUAGUAAAAUGCGAUACUUGGUGUGAAUUGCAGAAUCCCGUGAACCAUCGAGUUUUUGAACGCAAGUUGCGCCCGAAGCCUUUUGGCCGAGGGCACGUCUGCCUGGGCGUCACGCAUCGCGUCGCCCCCCACAAUUCUCCGUAAAGGGAACAUGUGUUUUGGGGGCGGAUAUUGGUCUCCCGUGCUCAUGGCGUGGUUGGCCGAAAUAGGAGUCCUUUCGAUGGACGCACGAACUAGUGGUGGUCGUAAAAACCCUCGUCUUUUGUUUCGUGCUGUUGCUCGCAAGGUAAACUCUUUAAAAACCCCAAUGUGUCGUCUCUUGACGACGCUUCGACCGCGACCCCAGGUCAGGCGGGACUACCCGCUGAGUUUAAGCAUAUCAAUAAGCGGAGGU